ACUCCUACGGGAGGCAGCAGUGGGAAUAUUGCACGAAAUGGGCGCAAGCCUGAUGCAGCAACGCCGCGUGAGGGAUGAAGGCCUUCGGGGUUGUAAAACCUCUUUUAGCAGGGAAGAAGCGAAAGUGACGGUACCUGCAGAAAAAGCACCGGCUAACUACGUGCCAGCAGCCGCGGUAAUACGUAGGGUGCAAGCGUUGUCCGGAAUUAUUGGGCGUAAAGAGCUCGUAGGCGG
This 234-nucleotide ribosomal RNA is filed under the name uncultured bacterium. RNAcentral's name for it is "partial 16S ribosomal RNA". It matches the Rfam family "Bacterial small subunit ribosomal RNA", at positions 335 to 578 of the family's 1533-position model. The record is from RNAcentral.